AGGAUGAACGCUGGCGGCGUGCCUAACACAUGCAAGUCGAGCGGAGACAGUGAGUAGCUUGCUAUGAGCUGUUUUAGCGGCGGACGGGUGAGUAACGCGUGAGCAACCUUUCCCAGACAGGGGAAUAACACACCGAAAGGUGUACUAAUACCGCAUAAGACCACGGGAUCACAUGGUUCUGGGGUAAAAGAUUUAUCGGUUUGGGGUGGGCUCGCGUCCGAUUAGGUAGUUGGUGAGGUAACGGCCCACCAAGCCGACGAUCGGUAGCCGACCUGAGAGGGUGAUCGGCCACAUUGGGACUGAGACACGGCCCAAACUCCUACGGGAGGCAGCAGUGGGGAAUAUUGGGCAAUGGAGGAAACUCUGACCCAGCAACGCCGCGUGGAGGAAGAAGGUUUUCGGAUCGUAAACUCCUGUCCUUGGAGACGAGUAGAAGACGGUAUCCAAGGAGGAAGCCCCGGCUAACUACGUGCCAGCAGCCGCGGUAAUACGUAGGGGGCAAGCGUUGUCCGGAAUAAUUGGGCGUAAAGGGCGCGUAGGCGGCUCGGUAAGUCUGGAGUGAAAGUCCUGCUUUUAAGGUGGGAAUUGCUUUGGAUACUGUCGGGCUUGAGUGCAGGAGAGGUUAGUGGAAUUCCCAGUGUAGCGGUGAAAUGCGUAGAGAUUGGGAGGAACACCAGUGGCGAAGGCGACUAACUGGACUGUAACUGACGCUGAGGCGCGAAAGUGUGGGGAGCAAACAGGAUUAGAUACCCUGGUAGUCCACACUGUAAACGAUGAAUGCUAGGUGUAGGGGGUAUCGACCCCUUCUGUGCCGCAGUCAACACAAUAAGCAUUCCGCCUGGGGAGUACGGCCGCAAGGUUG
Molecule: ribosomal RNA, 862 nt
Filed under: human gut metagenome
Description: bacterial SSU rRNA
Rfam family: Bacterial small subunit ribosomal RNA
Source: RNAcentral